Molecule: ribosomal RNA, 468 nt
Filed under: uncultured bacterium
Lineage: Bacteria
Description: partial 16S ribosomal RNA
Rfam family: Bacterial small subunit ribosomal RNA
Source: RNAcentral
GACGAACGCUGGCGGCGUGCUUAACACAUGCAAGUCGAACGGAAAGGCCCUGCUUUUGUGGGGUGCUCGAGUGGCGAACGGGUGAGUAACACGUGAGUAACCUGCCCUUGACUUUGGGAUAACUUCAGGAAACUGGGGCUAAUACCGGAUAGGAGCUCCUGCUGCAUGGUGGGGGUUGGAAGGUUUCGGCGGUUGGGGAUGGCCUCGCGGCUUAUCAGCUUGUUGGUGGGGUAGUGGCUUACCAAGGCUUUGACGGGUAGCCGGCCUGAGAGGGUGACCGGCCACAUUGGGACUGAGAUACGGCCCAGACUCCUACGGGAGGCAGCAGUGGGGAAUAUUGCACAAUGGGCGGAAGCCUGAUGCAGCAACGCCGCGUGCGGGAUGACGGCCUUCGGGUUGUAAACCGCUUUCGCCUGUGACGAAGCGUGAGUGACGGUAAUGGGUAAAGAAGCACCGGCUAACUACGUG